This 497-nucleotide ribosomal RNA is filed under the name uncultured bacterium. RNAcentral's name for it is "partial 16S ribosomal RNA". It matches the Rfam family "Bacterial small subunit ribosomal RNA", at positions 28 to 507 of the family's 1533-position model. The record is from RNAcentral.
GAUGAACGCUGGCGGCGUGCCUAAUACAUGCAAGUCGAGCGAACAGAUGAGGAGCUUGCUCCUCUGACGUUAGCGGCGGACGGGUGAGUAACACGUGGAUAACCUACCUAUAAGACUGGGAUAACUUCGGGAAACCGGAGCUAAUACCGGAUAAUAUAUUGAACCGCAUGGUUCAAUAGUUAAAGACGGUUUUGCUGUCACUUAUAGAUUGAUCCGCGCCGCAUUAGCUAGUUGGUAAGGUAACGGCUUACCAAGGCAACGAUGCGUAGCCGACCUGAGAGGGUGAUCGGACACACUGGAACUGAGACACGGUCCAGACUCCUACGGGAGGCAGCAGUAGGGAAUCUUCCGCAAUGGGCGAAAGCCUGACGGAGCAACGCCGCGUGAGGGAUGAAGGUCUUCGGAUCGUAAAACUCUGUUAUUAGGGAAGAACAAAUGUGUAAGUAACUAUGCACGUCUUGACGGUACCUAAUCAGAAAGCCACGGCUAACUACGUG